RNAcentral lists this ribosomal RNA (414 nucleotides) under uncultured microorganism. RNAcentral describes it as "bacterial SSU rRNA". It matches the Rfam family "Archaeal small subunit ribosomal RNA", at positions 459 to 872 of the family's 1478-position model. The record is from RNAcentral.
CAGCCGCCGCGGUAAUACCGGCGGCCCGAGUGGCGGCCACUAUUAUUGGGCUUAAAGCGUCCGUAGCCGGGUUGGUUAGUCUCCCGGGAAAUCUGGCCGCUUAACGGUCAGAAUUCCGGGAGAUACUGCCAGCCUAGGGACCGGGAGAGGCCGAGGGUAUUCCCGGAGUAGGGGUGAAAUCCUAUAAUCCCAGGAGGACCACCAGUGGCGAAGGCGCCCGGCUGGCACGCGCCCGACGGUGAGGGACGAAAGCUGGGGGAGCAAAGGGGAUUAGAUACCCCCGUAGUCCCAGCUGUAAACGAUGCGGGCUAGAUGUUGGGCGGGCCUCGAGCCCGCCCAGUGUCGUAGGGAAGCCGUUAAGCCCGCCGCCUGGGGAGUACGGCCGCAAGGCUGAAACUUAAAGGAAUUGGCGGG